This is a long non-coding RNA of Globicephala melas (long-finned pilot whale), 516 nucleotides long. RefSeq lists it as uncharacterized. The record is from RefSeq and is a predicted model, not a curated record. NCBI's taxonomy places the organism in Eukaryota, Metazoa, Chordata, Mammalia, Artiodactyla, Delphinidae.
CAGCGGCUGGAGGUGGGGCCAUCAUCCUGCGCACUCCGGACGGCCAUGUCCCGGGGGCCCGGGCCCGGGCCCGAGCCCCGGCUGGCGGCGGAGCCGACAGAAGACGAGGCAGCGACCGCGGGAUCCAGCGCCGGCUCCGCAGGGUACUCCUGUCAUCGUACUUGGUGACUUCAGGGUUUAGCAGAACCAUCGCAUACGGUUAUGCAGAUUGUGCACCGCACAAUGCCAAAGACGCUGUUCACAUAGACGGUUAUAUACUGAAACCCCCACGAGGUGGAAGAAGUUAACUGUAUGCUGUCCAUAGACCAGUUGGAACUAAAAGGUUGAUGAUGUUGACUCCCGAUCAUCUCACCACCAACCAAUCAGAAGAAUGUCCAUGAGCUGAUCAAGCACUGCACAACCCCCCUCCCUCACCCUGUCUUUAAAAACCUUUCCCUGAAACCCAUCAGGGCAUUUGUCUUUUAAGCACCAGCUGCCUGGAUUCCUUGCUUGGCACCCUGCAAUAAAUGCUAUACU